Molecule: non-coding RNA, 155 nt
Filed under: Alphaproteobacteria bacterium
Lineage: Bacteria; Pseudomonadati; Pseudomonadota; Alphaproteobacteria
Description: 6S RNA
Rfam family: 6S / SsrS RNA
About the family: E. coli 6S RNA was the first non coding RNA to be sequenced, but its function was unknown until recently. It consists of 184 nucleotides that fold into an extended hairpin structure with a large single-stranded internal bulge.
Source: RNAcentral
UAUUAACUGCUUGGUUCGAUUAAGGCUUUCAGCACUUCGGAUCGAUAUUACUCUUUAGGGAGUGGUCACUGGGAUUUGCCGUGGCAUUUUUCACACUGCGCCCACCUUGACAAAAAAGGGUCUAAGUAGCAAGCCAACGGCCAAGCGGUUAUAAA